Long non-coding RNA from Ruditapes philippinarum (Manila clam), 437 nucleotides. RefSeq lists it as uncharacterized. The record is from RefSeq and is a predicted model, not a curated record. The transcript is spliced from 5 exons. Lineage: Eukaryota; Metazoa; Mollusca; Bivalvia; Venerida; Veneridae.
AAAUGAACAAUGAUGUAGAUCUAAAGUCCAACUGACAGAAACAUAGUGUUACACGCAAUAUUCAAAGUAUUGCUGGAAGACAACGGAAAAUUAAGGUACAGAAAUAUAGUGCUACACCCCAUAAAGUAUUGGUGAAGGAAAACGAAAAAGAUCCAGUGUUGCGAACGUAAAAGUUGUGCAUGUCUAACAUAUGCAAAUAGGCAGAGAAGUAUAAGAGAAAAUGUCUUUGAGGAAAUUCAAGUGGUUAAUGAAACAACAGCGAUACAGUAUUCUCCUGGUUGUAACAACUACAUUCAUAGUGUACACAUUCUUAUGGAAAUUUACAGUAAAUAGUGGAGUCCAUGACAAUUCAAUAUAUGGACAGCUAAAGGUUUCCGGAAGCGGAAACAGUACACAUCGUCACGUGCUUCCUUUAACAACACAAGCCGUCACCAAGA